RNAcentral lists this ribosomal RNA (460 nucleotides) under uncultured bacterium. RNAcentral's name for it is "partial 16S ribosomal RNA". It matches the Rfam family "Bacterial small subunit ribosomal RNA", at positions 338 to 795 of the family's 1533-position model. The record is from RNAcentral.
CCUACGGGAGGCAGCAGUGAGGAAUAUUGGUCAAUGGGAGGAAUCCUGAACCAGCCAUGCCGCGUGCAGGACGACUGCUCUACGAGUUGUAAACUGCUUUUGUACCGGGGUAAAAUGCCUUACGUGUAGGGUUUUGAAAGUACUGUAUGAAUAAGGAUCGGCUAACUCCGUGCCAGCAGCCGCGGUAAUACGUAGGGGGCAAGCGUUAUCCGGAUUUACUGGGUGUAAAGGGGGCGCAGAUGGCGAUUCAAGUCAGGAGUGAAAGCUCGGGGCUCAACCCUGAGACUGCACUUGGUACUGGGUGGCUGGAGUGCAGGAGGGGCAGGCGGAAUUCGUGGUGUAGCGGUGAAAUGCGUAGAUAUCAGGAGGAACACCGGUGGCGAAGGCAGCCUGCUAAACUGCAACUGACGUUGAUGCCCGAAAGCGUGGGGAGCAAACAGGAUUAGAUACCCUUGUAGUC